UCGACGUUGAAUAAUUACAAUAUUAUUGUUGUUAUCUUUUUAAACUGUUGAGCUUGGAAAUGCUGGUUUACAAUUGAUUCAAAGCUGAAUAACAAACAAACAAACAAACAACGUUUUCAAUAUAAAAUUUGACGAAUAAGUCAAUAUGAAAAUGAAGAACAUAAGAAGGAUAACUAAUAUAACAAAUAUAACUACCUCACCUGCUAAUACAUACACUCAUCUCUAUUCUCUAAUAUAAGCCAAGUCUCACCACAUAGAAAAAGCUAAUAGUUUGAGUUAUCCAAACACUGCAUAAGAUGAAGCUUCAAGAGUGUAUAACUGAUAAGGGUAGAUAGAAUCUUGAAGCGACUUUGACUGAACAUGAGUUUGAUCGGAGGGGGGUUUGGAGGAUAAACAACAACACCAACAACAAAUAAAAGCAUGAGAUCGUGAAGAGGGGUCAAAAAAUGAAAAAGAAGAAGUCAUGAAUAGAGAUUGUGAGAUUGUAAGUGUUGAACUGGAUCAUGAAUAGUGAAUUUGGAGAGAGAUUCUUAAGUGUGAGAUUCAGAAAGAUUUGC
RNAcentral lists this long non-coding RNA (557 nucleotides) under Trifolium pratense (red clover). RNAcentral describes it as "long non-coding RNA (TPRA_LNC003466)". Lineage: Eukaryota; Viridiplantae; Streptophyta; Magnoliopsida; Fabales; Fabaceae. The record is from RNAcentral.